Molecule: ribosomal RNA, 543 nt
Filed under: uncultured bacterium
Lineage: Bacteria
Description: bacterial SSU rRNA
Rfam family: Bacterial small subunit ribosomal RNA
Source: RNAcentral
AGAGAGAGAGCUUGCUUUCUCGAGCGAGUGGCGAACGGGUGAGUAACGCGUGAGGAACCUGCCUCAAAGAGGGGGACAACAGUUGGAAACGACUGCUAAUACCGCAUAAGCCCACGACCCGGCAUCGGGUAGAGGGAAAAGGAGCAAUCCGCUUUGAGAUGGCCUCGCGUCCGAUUAGCUAGUUGGUGAGGUAACGGCCCACCAAGGCGACGAUCGGUAGCCGGACUGAGAGGUUGAACGGCCACAUUGGGACUGAGACACGGCCCAGACUCCUACGGGAGGCAGCAGUGGGGAAUAUUGCACAAUGGGGGAAACCCUGAUGCAGCGACGCCGCGUGGAGGAAGAAGGUCUUCGGAUUGUAAACUCCUGUUGUUGAGGAAGAUAAUGACGGUACUCAACAAGGAAGUGACGGCUAACUACGUGCCAGCAGCCGCGGUAAAACGUAGGUCACAAGCGUUGUCCGGAAUUACUGGGUGUAAAGGGAGCGCAGGCGGGAAGACAAGUUGGAAGUGAAAUCCAUGGGCUCAACCCAUGAACUGCUUU